UGCUGCUUUGCUGACGACUGGCGGACGGGUGAGUAAUGUCUGGGAAACUGCCUGAUGGAGGGGGAUAACUACUGGAAACGGUAGCUAAUACCGCAUAACGUCGCAAGACCAGAGAGGGGGACCUUCGGGCCUCUUGCCAUCGGAUGUGCCCAGAUGGGAUUAGCUAGUAGGUGGGGUAACGGCUCACCUAGGCGACGAUCCCUAGCUGGUCUGAGAGGAUGACCAGCCACACUGGAACUGAGACACGGUCCAGACUCCUACGGGAGGCAGCAGUGGGGAAUAUUGCACAAUGGGCGCAAGCCUGAUGCAGCCAUGCCGCGUGUGUGAAGAAGGCCUUCGGGUUGUAAAGCACUUUCAGCGGGGAGGAAGGCGGUGAGGUUAAUAACCUCAUCGAUUGACGUUACCCGCAGAAGAAGCACCGGCUAACUCCGUGCCAGCAGCCGCGGUAAUACGGAGGGUGCAAGCGUUAAUCGGAAUUACUGGGCGUAAAGCGCACGCAGGCGGUCUGUCAAGUCGGAUGUGAAAUCCCCGGGCUCAACCUGGGAACUGCAUUCGAAACUGGCAGGCUAGAGUCUUGUAGAGGGGGGUAGAAUUCCAGGUGUAGCGGUGAAAUGCGUAGAGAUCUGGAGGAAUACCGGUGGCGAAGGCGGCCCCCUGGACAAAGACUGACGCUCAGGUGCGAAAGCGUGGGGAGCAAACA
This 700-nucleotide ribosomal RNA is filed under the name uncultured bacterium. RNAcentral describes it as "bacterial SSU rRNA". It matches the Rfam family "Bacterial small subunit ribosomal RNA", at positions 78 to 774 of the family's 1533-position model. The record is from RNAcentral.